Long non-coding RNA from Gavialis gangeticus (Gharial), 448 nucleotides. RefSeq lists it as uncharacterized. The transcript is spliced from 3 exons. The record is from RefSeq and is a predicted model, not a curated record. Lineage: Eukaryota; Metazoa; Chordata; Crocodylia; Gavialidae.
UGAGAAAGCAGUGCUAUCUAAGUUUCUUUUUUAAAAGCCACUGUUGUUCGCAGCUAUAAGAAGGGGGCUAAUCUGAUUCUGAAUCAAGUUAAUGCUGCAAGGACACAUUGAAAGCAUACCUCAGGAAAACAGAUGUUGAGCUCAAGAGCUGUCGACCGACCCCUGUGGUGCUGCAACCUCAACAAAGUGGCAUCCUAUUUCAAGGUCAAAAUAUGAAUUCUUAAAUCCUACGUAAAUGAUCUAAGUGACAAGAAUAGACUAUUUAUUCAAACAAUUGAAGGUUCUGAAAGAGAAGCCAAUGACAAUUUCUCAUUUGAAAGUUAGACUACUGGGAGCUGACCAGAUAAUUAAUGUAAGAACAUUAAUACUGACUUGCUGUAUAUAAACUCAUUUGCAAAAUUUUUAUUGUGGCUAAAGCUUGUUGAGUUUUACAGUUUUGUAUUUGACA